GACGAACGCUGGCGGCGUGCUUAACACAUGCCAGUCGAACGGAAAGGCCCUGCUUUUGUGGGGUGCUCGAGUGGCGAACGGGUGAGUAACACGUGAGUAACCUGCCCUUGACUUUGGGAUAACUUCAGGAAACUGGGGCUAAUACCGGAUAGGAGCUCCUGCUGCAUGGUGGGGGUUGGAAAGUUUCGGCGGUUGGGGAUGGACUCGCGGCUUAUCAGCGUGUUGGUGGGGUAGUGGCUUACCAAGGCUUUGACGGGUAGCCGGCCUGAGAGGGUGACCGGCCACAUUGGGACUGAGAUACGGCCCAGACUCCUACGGGAGGCAGGAGUGGGGAAUAUUGCACAAUGGGCGGAAGCCUGAUGCAGCAACGCCGCGUGCGGGAUGACGGCCUUCGGGUUGUAAACCGCUUUCGCCUGUGACGAAGCGUGAGUGACGGUAAUGGGUAAAGAAGCACCGGCUAACUACGUG
RNAcentral lists this ribosomal RNA (468 nucleotides) under uncultured bacterium. RNAcentral's name for it is "partial 16S ribosomal RNA". It matches the Rfam family "Bacterial small subunit ribosomal RNA", at positions 28 to 507 of the family's 1533-position model. The record is from RNAcentral.